AUCACAAUAAUGAAAUUACAUUCUAAAAUGCAAUAUGGUUCUAUUCAAAAAAACUCAAUACCUAUCACUGUGAAAAUGAACCCAAGUGACUGAGAGAAAACUUCACAAGACAAAUGUGAAACAGACAAGGAAGUAGUAAAAUUAAGCAAUACCCUUAAAAGAAAUAUUUUCUAUCUUGUACUCCUUUUGUUUCUGUGAUUACCCCCCCCCACUCAUCUCUAGAAUUUGCAAUGUGCAAAUUCUAGAGAUUAAUAGAUUAGCAGCUACUACCCUUGAAACACAGAGGUAAAAACUGCACACUUCGUGUAAUGUUUUCCAAGAGAGGAGAAUCUUUCAUAGAUGAGAAAAUGUGCCCACCACCUGAUAUAAGCUGUAGUAACAUCAAAAGAAAAAUAAGUAACUGUAGUUUACUUCACUAGAACAAGCAAACCUACCAAGAGAGAACUAAAUGGCACAAUGCAGGUUAAGAAUCUGAGAUUCCGUAGUAACUAAAACUGAC
Molecule: long non-coding RNA, 499 nt
Organism: Phyllostomus discolor (pale spear-nosed bat)
Lineage: Eukaryota; Metazoa; Chordata; Mammalia; Chiroptera; Phyllostomidae
Exons: 2
Source: RefSeq, a predicted model, not a curated record